UUCUUGGGUUUUUAUAAUGUAAGUGGAAGGAAGAAUGAGUGAACGAAUGAUGACUGACCCCUGUUGGCCGGUGAUGAAGGAACACCCAAGAAUUAACACUCGUUCCUCCCUUCACCCUACCUUCGCUCACUCAUUCAUCUUUGAAUUUGGUUAAUUUGAAUCACUUUUCCCUUCCAUUUCCUUUCGUUCCACUUUAAAUGAAUAAAGACAAAUGAGAGAAGGAAUGCGUGCUUUAUUCAAUAAAAGAGAACGAAAAAGGAAGGGAAAAAGGGGAAAGUAACCAACAGCAUGUGAGAAAGAGUUCCGUUCUCUUCUCUUGUUUGUUUUGUUAAAUUGAAUUAAAACAAAUGGAACAAAGAGGAAUGCGUG
RNAcentral lists this non-coding RNA (369 nucleotides) under Symbiodinium sp. CCMP2430. The record is from RNAcentral. Lineage: Eukaryota; Dinophyceae; Suessiales; Symbiodiniaceae.